Molecule: ribosomal RNA, 495 nt
Filed under: uncultured bacterium
Lineage: Bacteria
Description: partial 16S ribosomal RNA
Rfam family: Bacterial small subunit ribosomal RNA
Source: RNAcentral
GACGAACGCUGGCGGCGUGCCUAAUACAUGCCAGUAGAACGCUGAAGGAGGAGCUUGCUUCUCUGGAUGAGUUGCGAACGGGUGAGUAACGCGUAGGUAACCUGCCUGGUAGCGGGGGAUAACUAUUGGAAACGAUAGCUAAUACCGCAUAAGAGUAGAUGUUGCAUGACAUUUGCUUAAAAGGUGCAAUUGCAUCACUACCAGAUGGACCUGCGUUGUAUUAGCUAGUUGGUGGGGUAACGGCUCACCAAGGCGACGAUACAUAGCAGACCUGAGAGGGGGAUCGGCCACACUGGGACUGAGACACGGCCCAGAGUCCUACGGGAGGCAGCAGUAGGGAAUCUUCGGCAAUGGACGGAAGUCUGACCGAGCAACGCCGCGUGAGUGAAGAAGGUUUUCGGAUCGUAAAGCUCUGUUGUAAGAGAAGAACGAGUGUGAGAGUGGAAAGUUCACACUGUGACGGUAUCUUACCAGAAAGGGACGGCUAACUACGUG